This 221-nucleotide ribosomal RNA is filed under the name Platycephalus indicus (bartail flathead). RNAcentral's name for it is "partial 12S ribosomal RNA". Lineage: Eukaryota; Metazoa; Chordata; Actinopteri; Perciformes; Platycephalidae. The record is from RNAcentral.
UGUCGGUAAAACUCGUGCCAGCCACCGCGGUUAUACGAGAGGCCCAAGCUGAUAGACUGCGGCGUAAAGAGUGGUUAGGAUCAAACACACACUAAAGUCGAAUGCAUUCAAAGCUGUUAUACGCUAAUGAAGCUAGCCGAAGCCCAACUACGAAAGUGACUUUAAACCUACUGACUCCACGAAAGCUAGGAAACAAACUGGGAUUAGAUACCCCACUAUGA